This 399-nucleotide ribosomal RNA is filed under the name uncultured bacterium. RNAcentral's name for it is "partial 16S ribosomal RNA". It matches the Rfam family "Bacterial small subunit ribosomal RNA", at positions 523 to 918 of the family's 1533-position model. The record is from RNAcentral.
CGACGUAGGAGACGAGCGUUAUCCGGAAUUACUGGGCGUAAAGCGCGAGUAGGCGGCUUUUUAAGUGGUCUGUGAAAGCGUCCGGCUCAACUGGACGAGGCCGGAUCAGACUGGAAGGCUAGAGGGUCAGAGAGGCAGGCGGACUUCCGGGUGUAGUGGUGAAAUGCGGAGAGAUCCGGAGGAACACCAGUGGCGAAGGCGGCCUGCUGGCUGACAACUGACGCUGAGGCGCGAAAGCAUGGGGAGCGAACGGGAUUAGAAACCCCGGUAGUCCAUGCCGUAAACGAUGUCAACUAAGUGUUUGGGAAGCGAAAGCUUCCUGAGUGCUGAAGCAAACGCAUGAAGUUGACCUCCUGGGGAGUACGACCGCAAGGCUAAAACUCAAAUGAAUUGACGGGG